AGGUCAUAGUGAUCCGGUGGUUCUGAAUGGAAGGGCCAUCGCUCAACGGAUAAAAGGUACUCCGGGGAUAACAGGCUGAUACCGCCCAAGAGUUCAUAUCGACGGCGGUGUUUGGCACCUCGAUGUCGGCUCAUCACAUCCUGGGGCUGAAGUAGGUCCCAAGGGUAUGGCUGUUCGCCAUUUAAAGUGGUACGCGAGCUGGGUUUAGAACGUCGUGAGACAGUUCGGUCCCUAUCUGCCGUGGGCGCUGGAGAAUUGAGGGGGGCUGCUCCUAGUACGAGAGGACCGGAGUGGACGCAUCACUGGUGUUCGGGUUGUCAUGCCAAUGGCACUGCCCGGUAGCUAAAUGCGGAAGAGAUAAGUGCUGAAAGCAUCUAAGCACGAAACUUGCCCCGAGAUGAGUUCUCCCUGAGACUAUAAGUCUCCUGAAGGAACGUUAAAGACGAUGACGUUGAUAGGCCGGGUGUGUAAGCGCAGCGAUGCGUUGAGCUAACCGGUACUAAUGAACCGUGAGGCUUAACCUUACAACGCCGAAG
Molecule: ribosomal RNA, 536 nt
Filed under: Klebsiella pneumoniae
Lineage: Bacteria; Pseudomonadati; Pseudomonadota; Gammaproteobacteria; Enterobacterales; Enterobacteriaceae
Description: partial 23S ribosomal RNA
Rfam family: Bacterial large subunit ribosomal RNA
Source: RNAcentral